CCCACCUCGAGGUCGCUCCAUCCAGUUGCCCAUGACCGUGUAAAUCCACCACACCUCGCACGCGCAGAAGGGUGGCUGCAACCUCUCCUCUGAUUUGGACUCCCGUAUCCCCGUUCUACUCCUCUCGUCGUUGAUCUCUCAUACCCUGUCCUUGCCUAUAGGCUGAUCUCCACGCAAUGAUCUAGAUUGAAUCAGGUAACGAGGAAUUUGGCGAUUAGAUCUGCAGGAACUUCCAGCCAUCACGGACUCCUCAAGUCCUAUGGCGCCGCGUCAACUCAGGAGCCGAUCUGUAAAGGUCACAGUGGUCUCCUGAGAACUCCAAUGGACAGUGCCAUCCUGGAGGUUGGACAAAAAGCUUUAAGCAAGCAGUACUAAAUUCCUAGCAAGUUUUUUCCUAAUUCACCAAGGUAGCGCAGCAAGAUUUAAUAAAGCAGAACUAAAUUCCCUGCAAGGUGUAAAAGAUCAGUUGAAUAUGUUUGGACAUCACUGGAAGCAAGAAGAUUGAGAAUCAUGUCCCACCUGUGUGGGAUUUUUUUUAUUGCAUCUACUACUAACUGUUUAUUAUCUCACAUUUAUUAAUUUUCUAUAUGCUAAAUAUUGGUCUAGAUAAAAUUUCUGGAUGAUUUCUUUCUUGAUAAGGUUGCAUUGUAUCAGUUACCUUGCGUCUGGACAAACAGUAUUGCUGUAGAUUGUAUAGUGACAUCGACUAAUUCUACAGUGUAUUCUUGAUUUUUCUUUGUGCUGUUGCAGUCACCAGAUUUCAGCUCCUAUCUAAAAUUUUCAUUCCUCUUGGAGGGAUAAUCUUCAGAGUUAAGUGGUACUAGCAUCGGUGGAAUGAUAGCCUAAACUGAAGGAAGGAGAAGGAGGGCUGCUAGCAUUCUAAGAGGGAUGCCUUUAUGUUUAUAUUUUACUACCAUAGAACUUGUACUGUGGGAAAAUUUGUGUCAUGUAUAAUAUGGAUGGUAGUCAUUGUAAUGCAACAAAUUAUUUAUAUUAUACAUAUGACUGACUAUGCUUAUUUCUUCCUA
Molecule: long non-coding RNA, 1028 nt
Organism: Sorghum bicolor (sorghum)
Lineage: Eukaryota; Viridiplantae; Streptophyta; Magnoliopsida; Poales; Poaceae
Exons: 5
Source: RefSeq, a predicted model, not a curated record